This 254-nucleotide ribosomal RNA is filed under the name uncultured bacterium. RNAcentral's name for it is "partial 16S ribosomal RNA". It matches the Rfam family "Bacterial small subunit ribosomal RNA", at positions 524 to 776 of the family's 1533-position model. The record is from RNAcentral.
UACAGAGGGUGCGAGCGUUGUCCGGAAUCACUGGGCGUAAAGGGCGCGUAGGUGGCCCGGUCAGUUCGUGGUGAAAGCGCGGGGCUCAACCCUGCGUCGGCCAUGAAUACUGCCGCGGCUGGAGCACUGUAGAGGCAGGCGGAAUUCCGGGUGUAGCGGUGGAAUGCGUAGAGAUCCGGAGGAACACCGACGGCGCAGGCAGCGUCCUGGCCGCUUGCCGACACUGAGGCACGAAAGCAUGGGGAGCGAACGGG